GUUCUGGUAGCUUAUUUAAAGCAUUGUUCUUGUAAACCAAAGCCGGGCCCUCACCCCCAGAACA
Molecule: transfer RNA, 64 nt
Filed under: Pseudoxenodon bambusicola
Lineage: Eukaryota; Metazoa; Chordata; Lepidosauria; Squamata; Pseudoxenodontidae
Description: tRNA-Thr
Source: RNAcentral